RNAcentral lists this ribosomal RNA (931 nucleotides) under uncultured bacterium. Its description in RNAcentral is "bacterial SSU rRNA". It matches the Rfam family "Bacterial small subunit ribosomal RNA", at positions 33 to 955 of the family's 1533-position model. The record is from RNAcentral.
ACGCUGGCGGCAGGCUUAACACAUGCAAGUCGAACGGUAACAGGGAUUAGCUUGCUAAUUUGCUGACGAGUGGCGGACGGGUGAGUAAUGCUUGGGAAUCUGGCUUAUGGAGGGGGAUAACUACGGGAAACUGUAGCUAAUACCGCGUAAAAUCUUCGGAUUAAAGGGUGGGACUUUCGAGCCACCUGCCAUAAGAUGAGCCCAAGUGGGAUUAGGUAGUUGGUUAGGUAAAGGCUGACCAAGCCGACGAUCUCUAGCUGGUCUGAGAGGAUGACCAGCCACACUGGAACUGAGACACGGUCCAGACUCCUACGGGAGGCAGCAGUGGGGAAUAUUGCACAAUGGGGGGAACCCUGAUGCAGCCAUGCCGCGUGAAUGAAGAAGGCCUUCGGGUUGUAAAGUUCUUUCGGUGACGAGGAAGGUUGAUAGGUUAAUAGCCUAUCGAAUUGACGUUAAUCACAGAAGAAGCACCGGCUAACUCCGUGCCAGCAGCCGCGGUAAUACGGGGGGUGCGAGCGUUAAUCGGAAUAACUGGGCGUAAAGGGCACGCAGGCGGUGACUUAAGUGAGAUGUGAAAGCCCCGGGCUUAACCUGGGAAUUGCAUUUCAUACUGGGUCGCUAGAGUACUUUAGGGAGGGGUAGAAUUCCACGUGUAGCGGUGAAAUGCGUAGAGAUGUGGAGGAAUACCGAAGGCGAAGGCAGCCCCUUGGGAAUGUACUGACGCUCAUGUGCGAAAGCGUGGGGAGCAAACAGGAUUAGAUACCCUGGUAGUCCACGCUGUAAACGAUGUCGAUUUGGGGAUUGGGCUUUGAGCUUGGUGCCCGUAGCUAACGUGAUAAAUCGACCGCCUGGGGAGUACGGCCGCAAGGUUAAAACUCAAAUGAAUUGACGGGGGCCCGCACAAGCGGUGGAGCAUGUGGUUUAAUUCGAU